AGUGAACGCUGGCGGUAGGCCUAACACAUGCAAGUCGAACGGCAGCACAGUAAGAGCUUGCUCUUACGGGUGGAGAGUGGCGGACGGGUGAGGAAUACAUCGGAUUCUACUUUUUCGUGGGGGAUAACGUAGGGAAACUUACGCUAAUACCGCAUACGACCUACGGGUGAAAGCCGGGGUUCUUCGGACCUUGUGCGAUGGUAUGAGCCGAUGUCGGAUUAGCUAGUUGGCGGGGUAAAGGCCCACCAAGGCGACGAUCCGUAGCUGGUCUGAGAGGAUGGUCAGCCAGACGGUCAGUGAGACACGGUCCCGACUCCGGCAGGAGGAAACAGUGGAGAAUCUUAGGCGAGGGGGGAGAGGCGGAUCCUGCAAUACCGCGGGAGGGAUGAAGGACUUAGGGUGCGAGAGCGAUGAUGUCCGUAAGGAUAAACAGCUGGUUUAUACGCGAUGGUACUGACGGUACCGGAAGAAUAAGCACCGGCUAACUUCGUG
RNAcentral lists this ribosomal RNA (492 nucleotides) under uncultured bacterium. Its description in RNAcentral is "partial 16S ribosomal RNA". It matches the Rfam family "Bacterial small subunit ribosomal RNA", at positions 30 to 507 of the family's 1533-position model. The record is from RNAcentral.